This 681-nucleotide ribosomal RNA is filed under the name Pseudo-nitzschia fraudulenta. RNAcentral describes it as "partial Bacterial large subunit ribosomal RNA". It matches the Rfam family "Bacterial large subunit ribosomal RNA", at positions 89 to 717 of the family's 2925-position model. Lineage: Eukaryota; Bacillariophyta; Bacillariophyceae; Bacillariales; Bacillariaceae. The record is from RNAcentral.
CAAACGAGCUGUGAUCCGGGGGUGUCCGAAUGGGGGAACCCAGCACGAGUCAUGUCGUGUUACCCGCGCCUGAAUAUAUAGGGUGUGUGGAGGGAACUCGGGGAAGUGAAACAUCUCAGUACCCGAAGGAAGAGAAAACAACAGUGAUUCCGAGAGUAGUGGCGAGCGAAAUCGGAUGAGGCUAAACCAUGCACAUGUGAUACCCGGCAGGGGUUGUGUGUGUGGGGUUGUGGGACCGCGUGGAUCUAUCUGCCGGUAGGUCGCACAGUAAGAAAGUACGCGUGAAGUCGAAGUCCGUUGGAAAGCGGCGCCGUAGAGGGUGAUAGCCCCGUAGGUGUAAGUGCGUGCCUGUGUCGCGGUAUCCCAAGUAACACGGAACCCCUGAAAUUCCGUGUGAAUCUGGCGGGACCACCCGUUAAGCCUAAAUACUCCUUGAUGACCGAUAGCGGACAAGUACCGUGAGGGAAAGGUGAAAAGUACCCCGGGAGGGGAGUGAAAUAGUACCUGAAACCGUGCGUCUACAAGCAGUUGAAGCACUAUGCCCCAUUAGGGGAAUGUGCAACAGCGUACCUUUUGCAUCAUGGGCCUGCGAGUUACCCUAUGUCGCAAGGUUAAGCCGAGAGGUGUAGCCGGAGCGAAAGCGAGUCUUAACAGGGCGAGCAGUCAGCAGUGGCAGACGCG